GCCGACUUCAGCCCCAUAUCUCACAUUCUCUCUCCCUUAGAAAAAUUUCGUCCUCGAAAUUUAAUAUACCUUAGCUUGCAAAAAGGUUCGGAUAUUUUUCCUUCAUCUCAUCCUCCAGUUCCCACGUAGCCUCACGUUCAGAGUGAUUGCUCCACUGGAUCUUAACAUAAGGAAUCGUGCGCCUUCUCAACACUUGUUCCCUUCUAUCAACCACACGUACAGGCUGCUCAGGAUAUGUCAAAUCUUCUCUAAACUGCAAGGGAGCCACUUCUACCACAUGGCUUAUAUCUGGAAUAUACUUUCUUAACAUAGAAGCAUGAAAAAAUAUUAUGAACUCCGGACAGUGAAGGUGGGAGCGCCAAUUUGUAUGCCACAGCUCCUACUCUUUCCAGAAUCUCAAAAAGGCCCACAUAGCG
This 416-nucleotide long non-coding RNA is filed under the name Phoenix dactylifera (date palm). Its description in RNAcentral is "long non-coding RNA (PDAC_LNC006880)". The record is from RNAcentral. Lineage: Eukaryota; Viridiplantae; Streptophyta; Magnoliopsida; Arecales; Arecaceae.